CAAUUGUACGGUGGAUGAUAUUCCCUUCGUCAUUAAUUCUUGGGUACCAUGUGUUUUCGUCAGAGUCAUGUUGGCAAAUAUUGUUGGGGUAAAAUCACACAAAUUGCUCAGUUGACUGGGUUUAGGACAUAAAGACUUUUGACACAUAUUGAAAGUUCUUUUAAAACUUGUGGUCUUAAACAUGUUAUGACAUUUCUACGGUUAUAAGAACAUGUCAUUAUUGGUAAAUUGGAAAUUUGAAGUUAAGUUUUCCAAAAUAUCCAAUAUCAUCCUUUUUGGAAGACUAAAAAAGAAAAAGUGUUGUAUAAAUUGGAACAGAGGUGUAACCAUUUUUUUAUAUGAAGAAUGGAACAGAGGGAGUAAUAAAAUUUGGUUUUGGCAGCUAUACAUUUGGAAAAAGAAUAAACUCUCUUGUACGUCCAGUAUAUGUGGACUUGAUAUUGGAUAACUAUAUUUAUUACACCAUGUAAGUGCUUACCAUGAUUUUACCUCAUUUGACUUGGAUAUCCUUUUCUAUUGCUAUUUACCUUAUUCUAGAGAGGGCAUAAAUGUAUAUUAUAGCUUGGAUUUCUACGAGCGUAUAUUAGAGGAACAUUAGAAGGAUUGAGCAAUUAGACUAGGUUGAGAAGUGGACUAAAUUUGGGUAGCCAAUUGUAAAACCACUUUUAAACCCCGCUUUUUUUGGCCCAAUUGCUUUUAGCCCUUUUCAUGUCGACAUGUUUUCAAUCUGCUAGAUUUGGCCAAAUCAUCAAAUCAUUGUUCCUUUCUGCCUCCAAGGAAGCACGUCUUAAAAAAUAUUCAACAAUAACCUUGAUUUUUGGUGCUGUCAAAGUCCUAAUCUAACUCUUGCAUGAGUUUUUGGCUUUAUAUAUUUAUUAUGUAACAUUUCCUUCUAGUGCCGACUGGUAUUCAGGAAAGCUCGGGCUAGUUCCUUUAAAGAGGUCUUAUAUUUAUCUUGUUCGGUCUUAUUCAGAUCGUGGAUUUGAAUCCAAGUAAUGUGCAGUUCAGUUCUCCAAUUUUAAAUUGGUCUGAAUUCCUAGGUGACGCUUAAAAGCCUUCCAUAUAAGCAAAUAAGCAGUCCUGCACUGGUACUCUUGUACACUUUGUUGUUCUGCUGAAUACUCAAGUAAUCUGUUUUAUGGUUGCAAUUAGUCAAGCAUAUCUUUACUGUUUACAGGUUAAACACACUAUUUGGUAAUACCCAACUUGAAUUUUAAGAAGGAAUAAUAUACGAGGAGUUGAUGUAUGCUCUUUUAUAUGCUACAAAGAUACAUUACGCCUUCCCUCCUUUGUUUGGAUUUGGAGGUAGAUGGGGAUGGAGGGGAAGGAAACAAAUAGGGGGGUAGAUAAGUUCAUGGAUAGAUGAGUGCUUGUUAUUACUGCCCCAAGCGGUUGUAGCUAUGCACUAAUUAGUUUACUGAUUUCUGCAGUACUCAAUGGAGCAAAGUAUCAGCAUUGUCACUCCAUUACUUUAUUAUUUCUCAAUUUCUUUGCUGUGACAAUGUCAGCCGCUGACUAUGUUUAUCUUUUUGAUAAUCAGGCCAUGCUUGCUUUAAUUGCUGUGACUUUUGGUGUGACAAAGGCAACUCAUUCCUGGUGAGGCUAUCCAGGCUGCAAAAUGUAACUUAUAGUGGAUCUCGGGGGGGGGGGGGCAGCAACUUUAUUGAUUGGUUUUUGUUUGUAAGGAUGUCUCUUUUUUUCAAUCUGUAUAGCAAAUAUUGACUUGGGUGGUUCUUAUAUUGAACGUACACUUCCUUUAUUAAUGUUUGUGGUACUUCUUGGUAUGCUCCAGCAGUAAAUGUGAUGUGUAUUUUUGAAACUUCCCCAACAGAAACUAAAUUGGAUGUGUGUUCAGUCUGUAGAAUUUGGCUGCUCCAUUCGGAAGACAUUACAAUUUCAAACACUGUUG
Molecule: long non-coding RNA, 1909 nt
Filed under: Nicotiana tabacum (common tobacco)
Lineage: Eukaryota; Viridiplantae; Streptophyta; Magnoliopsida; Solanales; Solanaceae
Description: long non-coding RNA (NTAB_LNC011809)
Source: RNAcentral